This 506-nucleotide ribosomal RNA is filed under the name uncultured bacterium. Its description in RNAcentral is "partial 16S ribosomal RNA". It matches the Rfam family "Bacterial small subunit ribosomal RNA", at positions 29 to 523 of the family's 1533-position model. The record is from RNAcentral.
AGUGAACGCUGGCGGUAGGCCUAACACAUGCAAGUCGAACGGCAGCACAGAGGAGCUUGCUCCUUGGGUGGCGAGUGGCGGACGGGUGAGGAAUACAUCGGAAUCUACUCAGUCGUGGGGGAGAACGUAGGGAAACUGACGCUAAUACCGCAUACGACCUACGGGUGAAAGCAGGGGACCUUCGGGCCUUGCGCGAUUGAAUGAGCCGAUGUCGGAUUAGCUAGUUGGCGGGGUAAAGGCCCACCAAGGCGACGAUCCGUAGCUGGUCUGAGGGGAUGAUCAGCCACACUGGAACUGAGACACGGUCCAGACUCCUACGGGAGGCAGCAGUGGGGCAUAUUGGACAAUGGGCGCAAGCCUGAUCCAGCCAUACCGCGUGGGUGAAGAAGGCCUUCGGGUUGUAAAGCCCUUUUGUUGGGAAAGAAAUCCAGCUGGCUAAUACCCGGUUGGGAUGACGGUACCCAAAGAAUAAGCACCGGCUAACUUCGUGCCAGCAGCCGCGGUAA